Molecule: ribosomal RNA, 427 nt
Filed under: uncultured bacterium
Lineage: Bacteria
Description: partial 16S ribosomal RNA
Rfam family: Bacterial small subunit ribosomal RNA
Source: RNAcentral
GUAGGGAAUAUUGCGCAAUGGACGAAAGUCUGACGCAGCGACGCCGCGUGAGUGAUGAAGGCCUUAGGGUCGUAAAGCUCUGUUGAAUGGGAAGAAAAAAAUGACGGUACCAUUCGAGGAAGGACCGGCUAACUUCGUGCCAGCAGCCGCGGUAAUACGAGGGGUCCUAGCGUUGUUCGGAAUCAUUGGGCGUAAAGGGUGUGUAGGUGGCCAUGUAAGUCAGGUGUGAAAGCCCCGGGCUCAACCCGGGAAGUGCACUUGAUACUGCGUGGCUUGAGUACCGAAGAGGGUAGUGGAAUUCCAGGUGUAGUGGUGAAAUACGUAGAUAUCUGGAGGAACACCGGUGGCGAAGGCGGCUACCUGGUCGAGUACUGACACUGAGACACGAAAGCAUGGGGAUCAAACAGGAUUAGAUACCCUGGUAGUC